RNAcentral lists this ribosomal RNA (872 nucleotides) under Chondrina calpica calpica. RNAcentral describes it as "partial large subunit ribosomal RNA". The record is from RNAcentral. Lineage: Eukaryota; Metazoa; Mollusca; Gastropoda; Stylommatophora; Chondrinidae.
UAAACUAUAAGAAUUUUAAAUAUAAGGACCCGAAAUAAUAAGAUCAAAAAAGUUAUAAAGGUUUGAAUUAAAGUUAAAUAUGUAGCAUAAUAUAAUUUUAAUAACUUUUUAGAGGAGAAAUUCCAACAAUUUUUAGGAUAGCUGGAUUGAAGGGAAAAGUAUUAAGUACUUAAAACAAUUAUAAAGUGAUAAGAUUUUAUAAAUUAAAUAAGUUGUUUUUAAAUUGAGCAGGGUUAACCCCCUAAAAGUUGGUUAUUUCUAUUAUAAUUUAAAUGUAUCUUUUUAUGUUUACCUUUUAAACUAAAGUUAAUUAAAUACUUUAGUUUAUAAUGUUUAAAUUAGUAUUUUUAUGUAAAUUUUAUUAAGGAACUCGGCAAAUAUUAUAUUUGACUGUUUAACAAAAACAUAGUCCGUUUGCUAUUUAUGAUGGAUAUAGCCUGCCCUGGUGAUUUUAUUUAACGGCCGCAGUACCUUGACUGUGCAAAGGUAGCAUAAUAAUUUGGCCUUUAAAUGUGGUCUAGAAUGAAUGGAUUUACAAAUAGCAACUGUCUUCACUUUAAUUAAAGAAAACUUAUUUAAAAGGUGCAAAUACCUUUAUAUUAAUAUAAUAGACGAGAAGACCCUUAGAAUUUAAUUUAAAAUAAAAGGUUCUAUUUAUUUCGAUUUUGUUGGGGCAACAAAGCAGCAACUAUUUAAUCUGCUUUUUGAUACUUAGAUAUGCCGACUAUUUGUAUGGAUAUAUAAAUUACCUUAGGGAUAACAGCAUAAUUUAAUAAAGAUUGUGACCUCGAUGUUGGAUUAGGGCCAUAAUAAUUUAACCAAUUAAUAUGUUAGUUCUGUUCGAACUUUACCACCUACAUGAUCUGAGUUCA